GUGCUCACAUGGGCAAGCACACAUGUGAGAGUCGGAAUGGUGCAGAGGAGAUUAGCAUGGCUCCUGUGCUAACAUGUAAAUUCAUGAAGCAUUCCAUAUUUAA
Small nuclear RNA from Peromyscus maniculatus bairdii (prairie deer mouse), 103 nucleotides. The record is from Ensembl. Lineage: Eukaryota; Metazoa; Chordata; Mammalia; Rodentia; Cricetidae.